CCCCUCUUAGGGUCUUACCUGGAGAGUUUCUAGUACUCUACCAGUCUCGACUACGGGAGGGAGGGUCAAGCAGAGAUAUAUCCAUGCCAUUCCUAGCUUGGGCAGUGGCUAGCAUUUGGAAGACAAUCUGCUACAAGU
Ornithorhynchus anatinus (platypus) is the source of this 138-nucleotide non-coding RNA. NCBI's taxonomy places the organism in Eukaryota, Metazoa, Chordata, Mammalia, Monotremata, Ornithorhynchidae. The record is from Rfam.